AGAGUUUGAUCAUGGCUCAGAGCGAACGCUAGCGGCGGGCUUAACACAUGCAAGUCGAGCGCUUCAUUGGGUUCGCCCGAUGGGGAGCGGCGGACGGGUGAGUAACACGUAGGUUACCUGCCCUUAGGUGGGGGAUAACCAGGCGAAAGCUUGGCUAAUACCGCAUAUGGUCUACGGAUCAAAGUCGAAAGACGCCUGAGGAGGGGCCUGCGGCCCAUUAUUUAAUCCUAGUUGGCGGGGUAAUGGCCCACCAAGGGUACGAUGGGUAGCUGGUCUGAGAGGACGAUCAGCCACACUGGGACUGAGACACGGCCCAGACUCCUACGGGAGGCAGCAGUGGGGAAUAUUGCGCAAUGGGCGAAAGCCUGACGCAGCCACGCCGCGUGUGUGAUGAAGGCCUUCGGGUUGUAAAGCACUGUCGGGGGGAACGAAUACUGACGGUACCCCCCAAGAGCCC
RNAcentral lists this ribosomal RNA (457 nucleotides) under uncultured Archangiaceae bacterium. RNAcentral's name for it is "bacterial SSU rRNA". It matches the Rfam family "Bacterial small subunit ribosomal RNA", at positions 8 to 493 of the family's 1533-position model. Lineage: Bacteria; Pseudomonadati; Myxococcota; Myxococcia; Myxococcales; Archangiaceae. The record is from RNAcentral.